AAACCAACAGGGAUUGCCCUAGUAACGGCGAGUGAAGCGGCAACAGCUCAAAUUUGAAAUCUGGCCCCAGGCCCGAGUUGUAAUUUGGAGAGGAUGCUUUUGGCGCAGCGCCCCCCGAGUUCCCUGGAACGGGACGCCGUAGAGGGUGAGAGCCCCGUACGGGAGGACGCUAAGCCUCUGUAAAGCUCCCUCGACGAGUCGAGUAGUUUGGGAAUGCUGCUCUAAGCGGGAGGUAAAUUUCUUCUAAAGCUAAAUAUUGGCCCAAGACCGAUAGCGCACAAGUAGAGUGAUCGAAAGAUGAAAAGCACUUUGAAAAGAGGGUUAAACAGCACGUGAAAUUGUUGAAAGGGAAGCGCUUGUGACCAGACAUGCGCCCGUCGGAUCAUCCAGCGCUCUGCGCUGGUGCACUCCGGCGGGUUCAGGCCAGCACCGGCCUUCCCAGGCGGAUAAAAACAGCGGGAACGUAGCUCCUUCGGGAGUGUUAUAGCCCGUUGUAGAAUACGCCUGGGGGGGCCGAGGUACGCGCUCUGCAAGGGUGCUGGCGUAAUGGUCACCAGCGGCCCGUCUUGAAACACGGACCAAGGAGUCAAGCAUUAGGGCGAGUGUUUGGGUGUUAAACCCGCACGCGUAAUGAAAGUAAACGCUGGUGAGAGCUUCGGCGCAUCAUCGACCGAUCCUGAAGUAUUCGGAUGGAUUUGAGUAGGAGCCUUACCGCUUGGACCCGAAAGUUGAUGAACUAUGCCUGUAUAGGGUGAAGCCAGAGGAAACUCUGGUGGAGGCUCGCAGCGGUUCUGACGUGCAAAUCGAUCGUCAAAUAUGGGCAUGGGGGCGAAAGACUAAUCGAAU
RNAcentral lists this ribosomal RNA (846 nucleotides) under Lylea tetracoila. RNAcentral describes it as "LSU rRNA". It matches the Rfam family "Eukaryotic large subunit ribosomal RNA", at positions 62 to 940 of the family's 3401-position model. The record is from RNAcentral. Lineage: Eukaryota; Fungi; Ascomycota.